RNAcentral lists this non-coding RNA (279 nucleotides) under Pongo abelii (Sumatran orangutan). Lineage: Eukaryota; Metazoa; Chordata; Mammalia; Primates; Hominidae. The record is from RNAcentral.
CUUCCGCGUCCCCAAACGCCCAGAGCCCGGGACACGGGCCGGCGGCCGGGUCACCAAGCCAGUUCCCGGAAUCGGCUCGCGCCGGAAUCCAUAUGCGGCUUGCAAAGCCCGCUCCUGCCGUCUCUCCGCAGCGCGCCCUGCCCCACGCUGCCGGCCCUCUUAGCUUCAAAACCAAAUUUUGCCUUGAUCCUGAGAGAUUAAUACCCCACAGGUGAAACCGUGGAGACGGAGCUGCGGAGGCGCUGCAAGGCUCAGUGCUCCUGGAGCCUUGAGUCUACG